UCGAGAAUCUUCGGCAAUGCGCGAAAGCUGACCGAGCAAUGCCGCGUGCGGGAUGAAGGCCCUCGGGUUGUAAACCGCAGUAAGGAGGGCCUCCAAUUACAGUAAGGACGGGCUAAGUUCGUGCCAGCAGCCGCGGUAAGACGAACCGUCCGAACGUUAUUCGGAAUUAUUGGGCUUAAAGGGUGCGUAGGCGGCCUUGUAAGUCGGGUGUGAAAUCCCACGGCUCAACCGUGGAACUGCGCCCGAUACUGCAUGGCUUGAGGGAGACAGAGGUAAGCGGAACUGAUGGUGGAGCGGUGAAAUGCGUUGAUAUCAUCAGGAACACCGGUGGCGAAAGCGGCUUACUGGGUCUCUUCUGACGCUGAGGCACGAAAGCUAGGGUAGCGAACGGGAUUAGAUACCCUAGUAGU
RNAcentral lists this ribosomal RNA (410 nucleotides) under uncultured bacterium. RNAcentral's name for it is "bacterial SSU rRNA". It matches the Rfam family "Bacterial small subunit ribosomal RNA", at positions 355 to 794 of the family's 1533-position model. The record is from RNAcentral.